CGUAGGCGGGUGUUUAAGUCAGAUGUGAAAACUAUGGGCUCAACCGAUAGACUGCAUUUGAAACUGGACAUCUUGAGGGCAGGAGAGGAAAGUGGAAUUCCUAGUGUAGCGGUGAAAUGCGUAGAUAUUAGGAGGAACACCAGUGGCGAAGGCGACUUUCUGGACUGUACCUGACGCUGAGGCGCGAAAGCGUGGGGAGCGAACA
RNAcentral lists this ribosomal RNA (205 nucleotides) under uncultured Clostridia bacterium. Its description in RNAcentral is "partial 16S ribosomal RNA". It matches the Rfam family "Bacterial small subunit ribosomal RNA", at positions 570 to 774 of the family's 1533-position model. Lineage: Bacteria; Bacillati; Bacillota; Clostridia. The record is from RNAcentral.